GGAGGAAAGCAGGGGAUCGUAAGACCUUGCGCUUUUGGAGCGGCCGAUGCCUGAUUAGCUAGUUGGUGGGGUAAUGGCCUACCAAAGCUUCGAUCAGUAGCUGGUCUGAGAGGACGGCCAACCACACUGGGACUGAGACACGGCCCAGACUCCUACGGGAGGCAGCAGUGGGGAAUUUUGGACAAUGGGCGCAAGCCUGAUCCAGCAAUGCCGCGUGAGUGAAGAAGGCCUUCGGGUUGUAAAGCUCUUUCAGUCGAGAAGAAAAAGCUGCAGUGAAUAACUGUAGUUCAUGACGGUAUCGACAGAAGAAGCACCGGCUAACUACGUGCCAGCAGCCGCGGUAAUACGUAGGGUGCGAGCGUUAAUCGGAAUUACUGGGCGUAAAGCGUGCGCAGGCGGUUUUGUAAGACAGGCGUGAAAUCCCCGGGCUUAACCUGGGAACUGCGUUUGAAACUACAAAGCUAG
RNAcentral lists this ribosomal RNA (465 nucleotides) under uncultured bacterium. Its description in RNAcentral is "bacterial SSU rRNA". It matches the Rfam family "Bacterial small subunit ribosomal RNA", at positions 198 to 644 of the family's 1533-position model. The record is from RNAcentral.